GGGGAGUACGAUCGCAAGAUUAAAAUUCAAAGGAAUUGACGGGUCCCCGCACAAGCAGCGGAGCAUGCGGCUUAAUUCGACGCAACGCGAAGAACCUUACCAAGGCUUGACAUAUACAGGAAUAUGGCAGAGAUGUCAUAGCCGCAAGGUCUGUAUACAGGUGGUGCAUGGUUGUCGUCAGCUCGUGUCGUGAGAUGUUGGGUUAAGUCCCGCAACGAGCGCAACCCUCGUUCUGUGUUGCCAGCAUUAAGUUGGGGACUCACAGGAGACUGCCGGGGUUAACUCGGAGCAAGCUGGGGAUGACGUCAAAUCAUCAUGCCCCUUAUGUCUUGGGCUGCACGCAUGCUACAAUGGCUGGUACAAACGGCUGCGAUACCGCAAGGUGGAGCGAAUCCGAUAAAGCCAGUCUCAGUUCGGAUUGGGGUCUGCAACUCGACCCCAUGAAGUCGGAGUUGCUAGUAAUCGUAGAUCAGCAACGCUACGGUGAAUACGUUCCCGGGGCUUGUACACACCGCCCGUCACAUCACGAAAGUC
Molecule: ribosomal RNA, 534 nt
Filed under: uncultured Actinomycetes bacterium
Lineage: Bacteria; Bacillati; Actinomycetota; Actinomycetes
Description: bacterial SSU rRNA
Rfam family: Bacterial small subunit ribosomal RNA
Source: RNAcentral